Molecule: ribosomal RNA, 514 nt
Filed under: uncultured bacterium
Lineage: Bacteria
Description: bacterial SSU rRNA
Rfam family: Bacterial small subunit ribosomal RNA
Source: RNAcentral
AACGCUGGCGGCGUGCCUAAUACAUGCAAGUCGAACGGCUUUUCUAUGGAAGCUUGCUUCCACUGAGAAGAUAGUGGCGAACGGGUGAGUAACACGUGGGUAACCUGCCCAUAAGAGGGGGGAUAACAUCCGGAAACGGGUGCUAAUACCGCAUAGUUUUCUUGAUCGCAUGAUCGGGAAAGGAAAGACGGCCUUUGUGCUGUCGCUUAUGGAUGGACCCGCGGCGUAUUAGUUAGUUGGUGAGGUAACGGCUCACCAAGACGAUGAUACGUAGCCGACCUGAGAGGGUGAUCGGCCACAUUGGGACUGAGACACGGCCCAAACUCCUACGGGAGGCAGCAGUAGGGAAUCUUCCGCAAUGGACGAAGUCUGACGGAGCAACGCCGCGUGAGUGAAGAAGGUUUUUCCGGAUCGUAAAACUCUGUUGUCAGAGAAGAACAAGUUGGAGAGUAACUGCUCCAGCCUUGACGGUAUCUGACCAGAAAGCCACGGCUAACUACGUGCCAGCAGCCGC